This is a non-coding RNA of Ramicandelaber brevisporus, 73 nucleotides long. The record is from the annotation of a GenBank genome assembly. NCBI's taxonomy places the organism in Eukaryota, Fungi, Kickxellomycota, Ramicandelaberales, Ramicandelaberaceae.
AGCGUCGUGGCGCAGCGGCUAGCGUGUUGGGCUCAUAACUCAAAGGUCGGUAGAUCGAAACUACCCGACGCUA